AUAAGUAUUUACACCUUUUCAAUUCAUAUUCCCAUUGAAAAACCCAACAGCCAGGCGGCUGGGUUUCUUUGGUAAUCCAACAGACCCUUGCUAUUUGUUAUUUUAGUUUCCUUUUUUAUUUUUUGUUCCAAUCUAGUAGGGUUUAUAUGUUUAGGUUGUUAUUUAAAUGAUAACUAAUUAUAAGUGGUUUGGUGGAGAAGGGUAGUAUCAUAGUCUUGAGUGGGGUGGGUUCAAUACCCGGGUAUGUUGCUUUGGUUUUCUAACACUUUGAUUUUUUUUCUCCAUAUUUUCUUUAAUUCUCACAUUUAAUUAUCUAGCCUUAUCAUUUAACUAACAUGUUUCUAUCAUUUAUUCAUUUUUUUAUUAUUUUAUUUUUAAUAUGACUUAUGUGAUUAUUCAUUUUUUUUUUAGGAUUUAUGUGAAU
This 424-nucleotide long non-coding RNA is filed under the name Lathyrus oleraceus (garden pea). RNAcentral describes it as "Pisum sativum (pea) long non-coding RNA (PSAT_LNC002937)". Lineage: Eukaryota; Viridiplantae; Streptophyta; Magnoliopsida; Fabales; Fabaceae. The record is from RNAcentral.